CGCGUAGGUGGGAGCAUAAGUGGUUGGUGAAAGACCUGGGCUUAACCGAGGGAUUGCCAAUCAGACUGUGUUUCUUGAGUAGGGUAGAGGAUAGUGGAAUUUCCGGUGUAGCGGUGAAAUGCGUAGAGAUCGGAAGGAACACCCGUGGCGAAGGCGGCUAUCUGGACUCAUACUGACACUGAGGCGCGAAAGCGUGGGUAGCGAACA
This 207-nucleotide ribosomal RNA is filed under the name uncultured bacterium. Its description in RNAcentral is "partial 16S ribosomal RNA". It matches the Rfam family "Bacterial small subunit ribosomal RNA", at positions 568 to 774 of the family's 1533-position model. The record is from RNAcentral.